AGGGAGGGCCGGUGGACGGGGGACCCUGCCGUCUCCCGUUGGGCUGGGGACCAUUCCAGACCCCACGAUGAAGAAGGGCGAGAACAGAGCUCAGGAGGGAGGAAAUGGCUGGCUGAUGGAGGCAGGAGAGGAUGAAGAUAUUUGAGAGAGACUGUGCAGAGCAGAAAUUAAUCAGAGCAGAGCAGUCUGAAUCUAGCUGGCCUUUGCAUUGUGUUCAAACCUCCAGUCGGACACUCUGGGAGAAUUUCUCAAAUUACAGAAUAUUAGGAACAGAACAAGUUUCCAGAAGGAAGAAAAGAAGACAAGAGUAACAUCCAUUUUGCCAGGGAGGUAGCAGUGUUCAUUGCUCCCCUUUGUGUCUGUGGCCUCUCUGUGCCAGCGCAACGCAUGAGGUUGUUCUCAGGAGAGUGCUCCCCAGCAGCCCCUGCUCACCGUGUCCCCCGGAGUGAAUCCUCUGAUGCUCUUCACCCCUGGGAUUAUCCGUGCCCAAUUUCUGCACCAGACCUGCAGUGUGGUGGGUCUGAGAUGAAGCUGGCUUCUCCCAUCUGAGAUCCUCCUGCCCCUGAGUCAUGGCUCAGCCCCCGAGGCACAGUGUUCUCCAGCCGUCUUCCCUGUGACCCUCUACCGUAUCGGCCCCUGGUCCGAGGAUUAGGUUUCUGGGCCUGUUUGUCUGCAUAGCUCUCAUGUUUCCAUUGGAGAUGUAGCUCCACCACCCAGUCCCACUCACCAAAAUGUCCCCAUCAAUCUCUGAUGUCCACAUUGCUGUCUGCACAGGACAUAGCUGGUUUCUCAUUCACUGACACCUUGCCUUACACGGAGGGCCCCAAUCCUUGACAAGAGUGGUUGCAUGAAUUGCAGACCACCACCAUCCUGGAUUCUCUCUUUCACUCCUUGUAUUAGAUAGAUGGCUCCACAUAAGAGAUUUAUAGUGAUUGGGUUUUUUUUGAAGAAUGAACAUUUUAAUCACAAACAGAGGUCACCUUUUGAAAAAUACAACAUUAUUGCUUCAGAAAAUAUUCACGAUUAAUGUAAAAAUACUGUAGAAUACAUAUAAUUUAUUCCUUUAAAAUGAUUUUUCAUUUUAACAUUCAUUAAAAAUUAAAUAUAAGCAUAAAAGGCUAUUCUGUCUUCAGAAUAAACAUGUGAUCAUAACCACUCUCUAUGACCUGUAUGUUCCCUUCAAGUUUUCUCUAUAGCAUUUACCCAACUGAAAUAAUAUCACGUAUGAUUUUAGUCCUGCUUUUGUCUCUUAAUAUCUUCAAGUAAUAAGCAUUUACCAUAGCAUUCUAAUAAUAUUACAUAAUCACAAUAAACAUUUUCAGUGGUUCAAUGAACAAUUUAAGUAGAUUCAUCACCAUAUACUUAGUUUUCCCCCUACUGUUGGAAGUGUAGGCUAUUUCCAAAUUUGCUGUUGUAAAGAGCACUACAAUUAGUAUCUUUGUGUGUAUCAGUGUUUCCCAUUAAUACGUACGUCUCAGAAUACAUACACAGCUGUAACAUUUCUGGGGCAGACAGAAACAUUUAUAGUUUGUCAAAUUGAUUUUAAAAAGGAUAUCCCACUUAUAACUCCAAAUAUGAGCUCUGAGAGUAUUUGUGUUAUGGUACUCAUCAGCCUAGGCUCAUUUUGUCUCAUUUUGUUUUAAACUCUAUUUCACUGAUUGUGAGGGCGGUGGGCCAUUUUUAUUUGUGUGCUUUCUCCUUGUAGUGUACCUAAGGGAAUUGUCAGUUUAUUGUUUUCACUCACUUAUGUAUUAAAUCAUAACGUUUGCAUCUUAUUUGUACGUAUGUGUUCUUUAUUCAAUACAAAAUAAAUAUAUGUUACAAUAGCAACAAAAAAAUCCCAGAGGUGAGGUUGU
Long non-coding RNA from Manis javanica (Malayan pangolin), 1856 nucleotides. RefSeq lists it as uncharacterized. NCBI's taxonomy places the organism in Eukaryota, Metazoa, Chordata, Mammalia, Pholidota, Manidae. The record is from RefSeq and is a predicted model, not a curated record.